AGGGGAAUAGCUUGGUUAAAUGGUGGUUCCAUAUCCAGCUUUCUAAGGAAUCUCCAUACUGCUUUCCAAAUUGGCAGAACCAAUUUGCAGUCCCACCAGCAAU
This 103-nucleotide microRNA precursor is filed under the name Marmota monax (woodchuck). The record is from RNAcentral. Lineage: Eukaryota; Metazoa; Chordata; Mammalia; Rodentia; Sciuridae.